This 29-nucleotide non-coding RNA is filed under the name Mus musculus (house mouse). The record is from RNAcentral. Lineage: Eukaryota; Metazoa; Chordata; Mammalia; Rodentia; Muridae.
UGAAGCACAAACUUCCUAUUCUCGCUGCC